Molecule: ribosomal RNA, 432 nt
Filed under: uncultured bacterium
Lineage: Bacteria
Description: bacterial SSU rRNA
Rfam family: Bacterial small subunit ribosomal RNA
Source: RNAcentral
ACAAUGGGGGAAACCCUGAUGCAGCCAUGCCGCGUGUGUGAAGAAGGCCUUCGGGUUGUAAAGCACUUUCAGUAGGGAGGAAGGUAGUGUAGUUAACACCUGCAUUAUUUGACGUUACCUACAGAAGAAGCACCGGCUAACUCCGUGCCAGCAGCCGCGGUAAUACGGAGGGUGCGAGCGUUAAUCGGAAUUACUGGGCGUAAAGCGCAUGCAGGCGGCCUGUUAAGUCAGAUGUGAAAGCCCGGGGCUUAACCUCGGAAUUGCAUUUGAAACUGGCAGGCUAGAGUCUUGUAGAGGGGGUAGAAUUUCAGGUGUAGCGGUGAAAUGCGUAGAGAUCUGAAGGAAUACCAGUGGCGAAGGCGGCCCCCUGGACAAAGACUGACGCUCAGAUGCGAAAGCGUGGGGAGCAAACAGGAUUAGAUACCCUGGUAG